This 237-nucleotide ribosomal RNA is filed under the name uncultured bacterium. Its description in RNAcentral is "partial 16S ribosomal RNA". It matches the Rfam family "Bacterial small subunit ribosomal RNA", at positions 100 to 334 of the family's 1533-position model. The record is from RNAcentral.
CCGGCACGGGUGAGUAACGCAUAUGCAACUUGCCUAUCAGGAGGGGAUAACCCGGCGAAAGUCGGACUAAUACCGCAUGAAGCAGGGGCCCCGCAUGGGGAUAUUUGCUAAAGAUUCAUCGCUGAUAGAUAGGCAUGCGUUCCAUUAGGCAGUUGGCGGGGUAACGGCCCACCAAACCGACGAUGGAUAGGGGUUCUGAGAGGAAGGUCCCCCACAUUGGACUGAGACACGGUCCAA